CCUAUUAGCAUUAUAAUUGACCAAAGUUUAUACGUUAACAAGUUGAGGAUUAAAACACCAGUGAUUUGAUAUUUUGUUCUCACUCUCUCCCGACGGUAGUUGGGGAUUAAACUCAUAUUACAAGGAAAUAUACCUUCAUAUAAAGUUUGGUCACUAUUUUCGACAGUUUGAGUUAAUAGUCAAGACGUAACGAGAUGAAACAAUUCGUUGUCGUACUCGCCAUUUUGGCCUGCUUAGCUCUCACAGAGGCUGCUCCAGCAGAUAUAAAGAGAUCUAAGCUACUGGCUGUAUUGGACUUUGGAGUCAAUCUUGAAGCAAACGAAGUAAACUUUGAUGAAGGAAGCGGAGUAAACUUUCAAGG
Molecule: long non-coding RNA, 361 nt
Organism: Anneissia japonica
Lineage: Eukaryota; Metazoa; Echinodermata; Crinoidea; Comatulida; Comatulidae
Exons: 6
Source: RefSeq, a predicted model, not a curated record